RNAcentral lists this ribosomal RNA (239 nucleotides) under uncultured Gammaproteobacteria bacterium. Its description in RNAcentral is "partial 16S ribosomal RNA". It matches the Rfam family "Bacterial small subunit ribosomal RNA", at positions 9 to 243 of the family's 1533-position model. The record is from RNAcentral. Lineage: Bacteria; Pseudomonadati; Pseudomonadota; Gammaproteobacteria.
GAGUUUGAUCUUGGCUCAGAGUGAACGCUGGCGGCAGGCCUAACACAUGCAAGUCGAACGGCAGCACAGGAGAGCUUGCUCUCUGGGUGGCGAGUGGCGGACGGGUGAGGAAUACAUCGGAAUCUACCUUGUCGUGGGGGAUAACGUAGGGAAACUUACGCUAAUACCGCAUACGACCUACGGGUGAAAGCGGCGGACCGCAAGGCGUCGCGCGAUUGGAUGAGCCGAUGUCCCGAUUA